AAUGAACGCUGGCGGCGCGCCUAAUACAUGCAAGUCGAGCGAGAAGACGUAGCAAUACGUUUGUAAAGCGGCGAACGGGUGAGGAAUACAUGGGUAACCUACCCUAGAGUGGGGAAUAACUAGCCGAAAGGUUAGCUAAUACCGCGUACGCUCCUUGGACUUCGGUUCAGGGAGGAAAGCGAUGCCGAGGGUAUCGCGCUCUUGGAUGGGCUCAUGUCCUAUCAGCUUGUUGGGAGGUAACGGCUCACCAAGGCUUCGACGGGUAGCUGGUCUGAGAGGACGAUCAGCCACACUGGCACUGCGACACGGGCCAGACUCCUACGGGAGGCAGCAGUAAGGAAUAUUGCGCAAUGGGCGAAAGCCUGACGCAGCGACGCCGCGGUGGGGGA
Molecule: ribosomal RNA, 389 nt
Filed under: uncultured bacterium
Lineage: Bacteria
Description: bacterial SSU rRNA
Rfam family: Bacterial small subunit ribosomal RNA
Source: RNAcentral